RNAcentral lists this transfer RNA (77 nucleotides) under Halieaceae bacterium. RNAcentral describes it as "tRNA-Val". It matches the Rfam family "tRNA". From Rfam's summary of the family: Transfer RNA (tRNA) molecules are approximately 80 nucleotides in length. Their secondary structure includes four short double-helical elements and three loops (D, anti-codon, and T loops). Further hydrogen bonds mediate the characteristic L-shaped molecular structure. tRNAs have two regions of fundamental functional importance: the anti-codon, which is responsible for specific mRNA codon recognition, and the 3' end, to which the tRNAs corresponding amino acid is attached (by aminoacyl-tRNA synthetases). tRNAs cope with the degeneracy of the genetic code in two manners: having more than one tRNA (with a specific anti-codon) for a particular amino acid; and 'wobble' base-pairing, i.e. permitting non-standard base-pairing at the 3rd anti-codon position. Lineage: Bacteria; Pseudomonadati; Pseudomonadota; Gammaproteobacteria; Cellvibrionales; Halieaceae. The record is from RNAcentral.
AGGACCAUGGCUCAGUUGGUUGAGGCGCUACCUUGACAUGGUAGAGGUCGGCGGUUCGAAUCGGCCUGGUCCUACCA